GAUGAACGCUGGCGGCGUGCCUAAUACAUGCAAGUCGAGCGAACAGACGAGGAGCUUGCUCCUCUGACGUUAGCGGCGGACGGGUGAGUAACACGUGGAUAACCUACCUAUAAGACUGGGAUAACUUCGGGAAACCGGAUCUAAUACCGGAUAAUAUAUUGAACCGCAUGGUUCAAUAGUGAAAGACGGUUUUGCUGUCACUUAUAGAUGGAUCCGCGCCGCAUUAGCUAGUUGGUAAGGUAACGGCUUACCAAGGCAACGAUGCGUAGCCGACCUGUGAGGGUGAUCGGCCACACUGGAACUGAGACGCGGUCCAGACGCCUAAGGGAGGGAGCAGUAGGGAAUCUUACGCAGUGGGCGAAAGUCUGACGGAGCAAGGCCGCGUGAGUGAUGAAGGCCCUCGGAUCGUAAAACUCUGUUAUUAGGGAAGAACAGAUGUGGACGUAACUAUGCACGUCUUGACGGUACCUGAUCAGAAAGCAACGGCUAACUACGUG
This 497-nucleotide ribosomal RNA is filed under the name uncultured bacterium. RNAcentral describes it as "partial 16S ribosomal RNA". It matches the Rfam family "Bacterial small subunit ribosomal RNA", at positions 28 to 507 of the family's 1533-position model. The record is from RNAcentral.